RNAcentral lists this long non-coding RNA (204 nucleotides) under Mytilus galloprovincialis (Mediterranean mussel). The record is from RNAcentral. Lineage: Eukaryota; Metazoa; Mollusca; Bivalvia; Mytilida; Mytilidae.
CUUUGGUUUCAGAGAUAUAUAAGCCAAAAUCUACAUUUCGCCCCUAUGUACUAUUUUUAGUCAUGGCGGCCAUCUUGGUUGGUUGGCAGGGUCACGCCACACAUUUUUAAAACUAGAUACAUAAAUGAUGAUUGUGGCCAAGUUUGGUUAAAUUCGGCCUAGUAGUUUCAGAGGAGAAGAUUUUUUAAAAAGAAUACUAAAAUU